GAAGAAGAAAGCCUGAGAUCCUGCUGUGCCCAUGCCAGGAGGUCCCAGGUUCCUUCCAAGCUUAUGGCCAGGAUUUGGUUUCAGCAGUAAUCUGAGGGAAGUGGUUGGCUCUUUCCUGCCUGCGCCUGGCCCACGUCCAGCAGCACAGAGGAGAAUGAAGAGGAUGGACUUUGCUGGAGGCAAGAACCUGUCCAAGGUGUGGAUCUGCUGCAUGUGCUCAUCUGGAAUUCUUAACGCCGUGAGGCUCAAGGGACGUCUUGACUGUUCCUCAUUCCAGCUCUCGCUGGAUUACUUGUCCAAGAGACAGCAAAAUUCACUGGUUUCAGUCUGUGGUGUGAUGGAAGGCAGAUCCUAUCAGAAACAUCUCUAUGCUAUCUGGUUGGCCAAGACACCUACAGGGAAGCUCGUCCUGGGGCCUGCAGCACAGCAGGAGGUGAGCAGCUCCCUUCAGACCUGUUGGCAUCACCUUCUUGUAAAUGCCUGA
This 484-nucleotide long non-coding RNA is filed under the name Chrysolophus pictus (golden pheasant). RNAcentral's name for it is "lncRNA (ENSCPIG00010004597.1)". The record is from RNAcentral. Lineage: Eukaryota; Metazoa; Chordata; Aves; Galliformes; Phasianidae.